RNAcentral lists this ribosomal RNA (429 nucleotides) under Chloroflexota bacterium. Its description in RNAcentral is "Chloroflexi bacterium partial 16S ribosomal RNA". It matches the Rfam family "Bacterial small subunit ribosomal RNA", at positions 355 to 776 of the family's 1533-position model. The record is from RNAcentral. Lineage: Bacteria; Bacillati; Chloroflexota.
UGGGGAAUAUUGCACAAUGGGCGCAAGCCUGAUGCAGCCAUGCCGCGUGUAUGAAGAAGGCCUUCGGGUUGUAAAGUACUUUCAGUCGGGAGGAAGGUGGUAAGGUUAAUAACCUUAUCAAUUGACGUUACCGACAGAAGAAGCACCGGCUAACUCCGUGCCAGCAGCCGCGGUAAUACGGAGGGUGCAAGCGUUAAUCGGAAUUACUGGGCGUAAAGCGCACGCAGGCGGUUGAUUGAGUCAGAUGUGAAAUCCCCGGGCUUAACCCGGGAAUUGCAUCUGAUACUGGUCAGCUAGAGUCUUGUAGAGGGGGGUAGAAUUCCAUGUGUAGCGGUGAAAUGCGUAGAGAUGUGGAGGAAUACCGGUGGCGAAUGCGGCCCCCUGGACAAAGACUGACGCUCAGGUGCGAAAGCGUGGGGAGCAAACAGG